RNAcentral lists this non-coding RNA (23 nucleotides) under Arabidopsis thaliana (thale cress). Lineage: Eukaryota; Viridiplantae; Streptophyta; Magnoliopsida; Brassicales; Brassicaceae. The record is from RNAcentral.
AGGAUGGACAACAAACCGAUGCG